This is a non-coding RNA of Chanos chanos (milkfish), 393 nucleotides long. Lineage: Eukaryota; Metazoa; Chordata; Actinopteri; Gonorynchiformes; Chanidae. The record is from the annotation of a RefSeq genome assembly.
AUGACUUUCAUCACCAUCUUCAUCUGGACACUGACUCUCUGUUUUCAUGAGUCCAGAGGACAGGUGACUGUGACUCAGACUCCUGAAGUCAAAUCUGUUCUUCCAGGAGACACAGUCACUAUCAACUGUAAAACCAGUCCUGCAGUGUAUUACUACAGUGACAGUUCCUAUGGUCACUACCUGUUCUGGUACCAACACAAACCUGGACAGGCUCCUAAACUCCUCAUUAAAUAUGCAAACAAGUUACAGUCAGGAAUUCCAAAUCGUUUCAGUGGCAGUGGAUCUGGGACUGACUUCACUCUGACCAUCAGAGGAGUCCAGACUGAAGAUGCAGGAGAUUAUUACUGUCAGAGUUACCAUGAGAUCAGUGGUAAACCUCUGUUCACACAGUGA